AUGGAAGCCUUGGAGGGUCACUUUUGAGUUUCGACUUACGGAUAUUUUACUUUUGACUUUCGACUUUUGACUUUUGAUUUGUGACUUACGUCUUAUGACUUUUGGCUAACCCAUUUUACACGUUUUUUAGAAGCUGAAAGCAGCAACUUUGGUUUCAGACACAACUACUAGACAAAAGGUAACGAGGAUGAAAACCUUGAUGUUGAUCUGUGUCUUCAUCAUUAUACUGUUCGGCAUUACCAAAGCUACCGUGCCAAGAUACCUACCCUCAACAUUUAUAAGAAACAAAACUCUGCUGAUAAUAGAGUACUUUCUGGUACGGCAUGGCAUUACGACGUCAUUAAGUACAGUGAAUAGAAUUUUUAAACGCUUAAAUUUAAAACGGCGUAAUGGAAUAUAUACUCCAUUUGAGACUGUGUCUGAUGUUAUAAACAGAGAAAUACAAACAAGUGGACAAUGCAUAGGAUACCGCACAAUGUGGCGUAGGUUAAUGCUGGAUUACCACAUGUACCUCAAGGGGGACGGCGUCAUGGAAAUAAUGAGAGCGCUUGAUCCAGUUGAUAUUGAGGUGCGGAAAGCUUAUCGCUUAUGCCGACGCGUAUACUACGCCAAAGGACCAGUUUUAUAUGACAUAUGGACAGCCAUAAUAUUGCUGUGAAUAGGUAUAGUAGAAAAAAUAAUAUGGUUAGAGGUUUCGGAUUCAAAUAACGACCCACGCCUUAUUUCAAGAUACUUUUCGACACCUUUAAUGAACAAUACCAAGUCCCCCCACCCAAUACUACGUUGUGAUGUUGGUAGGGAAAACUGCAUUGCUUUACUAUUGCAGGAAUACUUCAGACACGAUUCUACAGAUCCGAUUGCUGGUACUCAAAGCGUUGUAGUUGGAAAAAGCACAUCUAACCAACGCAUUGAGAAGUGGUGGUGUACAUUACGACAAAAUGAAAUCCAUUGGUGGAUUAAUUUUUUUCAAAGACUUACGCGAUACAUGUGCAUUUAAUGAUCUAGACCCGAUACAAUGUGAGAACUUAAAAUUUUGCUUUAUGGACCUCAUACAAACCGAGUUAGACCGGAUUGCACAUGAAAUAAGGCAACAAACCUUCUGUUAUUUAUGGUAAACCUGAUACACUGUUUUUUGUACCAGGUCUGUAUGAAACUCACGACUUCGGCAAUGCAGUUAACUUGAGAGACGUAUAUAUUUGCAAAGAACAUGUAUUCACGCCCAAAAAGACAAUGUGAGGAAUUCGUAGAAUUAGCACCCCUUCUGAAGCCAGAUCUACAGAUGCCAUUGGACGCCUAACAGCACUACAACUGUGUACCGAGUUGAACGAUUUAAUUUUGAGAGUAGAUUUAAUAUAAAUACGCUUUGAAACGGCUAAUUUUUAUUGUGUGUUAUUUAUAUAUUCUAGAUUACUAUAGGUUAAGUUUCAAAAAAAGAUGUUUUAAAAUCAUAAAGACGAUAGUCUACGAUUUCACUUCAUUUUAUGGUUGUUUUAAGAUAUUGGUUUGUAAAUAUUUAGCAAAUUACAAUAUAUUUGUAAAUUAUCAUUUAAGUUAUAACCACUCUAAUUUGCACUAUAAGGGAUUGUAUAUAAAAUUGACAACAUUGUUAAGUGGUAUACCUAAAGGACACCUGUAUGCAAAAUUUACCGUACGGAUUACGAGUUGUAGGCAUUAUUAUGAGUCAGAACAUAUACAUCAAAAAGGCUUUUAAAAAGAAAUACAUGUAUUGAAAGUCUUAAAAAUAUCUUCUUGUUUAACAUGUUUUGCAAGUGUUGUUUGUUUAGAUGCAAAAAAUAACAUUCUAGUAAUGAACUAUGUAUGUUAAAUGCAUCACUUUUCUCGACACGAUAGAAAUAUGCAUGGAAAUGUUUCUCUACCCCACCCAUUUGAACAAUUUCUAUCAUAUCAUUCUAAAUUUAGAAAAUCACUAAAAUUACAUUUGUCAAAGGGCUUGUUUCAAAGUUUGCUAAAAUCUUUCUAGAAGUAUAUUGAUUCAUUCUGAGAAAUAUGGAAGGCUUUUACCGGCUUGUUUGUAAUAUGUAAAGCAUUUGAAAUGUUAUAUGUCGUAUUUGCUCUUAUAUUUAGCAUUGAUUAGGCAAUGAAUAUCUGUAAAAAAUGAUAAUAAUAGAAAACGAGCAUAUUUUUCCAUCUAAAUAUAGUUAGAAAAAUACAAAAAUACUGUUAAAAGAAAAAACGAAGAAAAAAAAAGUUUUCUCCUAUGGGUUUCAAACCCACAACCUGUAUCUGUUCUAUAUCAAGCCCUGGUUACAAAAAGGCUGCCCGGCUAGGAAUAGAACCUCGGUCUCCCGCGUGACUGGCAGGGACACUUUCCACUAUACCAAAUGCCACAGGGGGAGAAAGAUAUGCAGCUAUACCGGGAUUCGAACCCGCAACCCCCUUACAGGGCUAGUUCUGUCCCGACCGAGAGUGCACUUCAUCUACUGAAUAGAUUCGUACCGUGACAUAUAAGUGAUACGUGUAAUUUCAAGUAUGUGUAAUUAGAUUUAAACGUCUUAUUCAUUCGCAACAAAUAGCAACCAUACUUUAUAGAAUGUAUUAUGGUAACUAUAUGUAAAAGGAAUAUAUAUGAUUGUUAUUUCAAAAAUAAUAGUUGAUCUUUGUAAUAAAUUUUCUCGUUUUUUAUUAAAUUUUGCCUUGUGACUAUUCACUUAUAAUUUAUCACUUUUUACCUAUGACUUUUAUCUUUUGACUUUUGACUUAUAACUUUUGUCAUUUGCUGUUACUCUUUACCUUGGUAUAAACAUUAGUUUUACUUGAUUUUAGAUUAGUGCAAAAUAAGCAAAUUUGUGACACAGUCACCAAAUGCAAGGGAGCACAUAAGCCGAGAGUGGUGUUGAAGUCAUAUAAUGUUUACAAGUACAUUUAGCCACUAGCCUCAUUUUUGCAUUAUAAUUAUUGCAUUCAUAUGAUUUUAUCAUAUGAUAGUUGAUCUUUUUUACGUGAAGAAUCAACAUCAAUUGUUUUUGUAAAAUCAUAUGUAUAGAAGGUUUAAUUCGGGACAUUCAUUCAUAAAUACCGUCUGCAGCAUUAAGUAUUAAAGUAAAUAAACUGUUAUUGAUAAAUAAGAAUUUUUUAUUCAGAUUAAACAGUUCUGAGCUAUUUUCUAGAUGUGUAGUCUUAUUACAAUUUUUCAUUACCAUUUUACAGCUUGAAAUAGAUUAUUUAAUUUUUUGUUGAAUUUAGUCACGGUUGACUGGUGCGCUAUUUUUCCGUGUUCACUAUUAAAGAGGGAACAAGCAUUAGGCAUUAUAAUACAUGUACAUUAAAUUAAAGGAGAUAUAAACGGAAUAUUAUGUAGUAGUAGCUUUUUAAGGCUUUGUAUAUUGCUACGAGCAGCGGUGGAAAAAUGAUAUCUCGCGAGACCGAAGGUCGAGUGAGAUAUCAAUUUUCCAAUGUUGUAAGUAGAAAAAUGCAUAUUUAAUCUGGUCCUGAAUGAUAAAAAUACAUUGUCCUCAUUUGUUGACAAUUUAUUAUUGUGUUAUUGUAACUUUGUUAUAACCAAAAUAAACUUGCAAUUUACUAUCGGAAUAAACAGUAUUUAAAUGUUACAGAGAAUUUAUUUAUCUAUGUAGAGAUAAUGUUCCAUUAAAAUUAUAUGUAAGAUGUUACAAUGAGCAAAGUAGAAAUAGAAUAUCAAUCACUAUAGAAGUAAACUGCCAACUCCCUCAACAGACUACCUAAAUAUACAUCUACCGAGAGACCACGCUACCAAAGGUUUUUACCUCACGGUCUAGACCGUGACAGGUUGGCAGAGCUAUCAAUAAAUUUUUGGAAUAAAUGCGUUUAAACAGAUAACAACAAACAUUUCUAAUUCUACAACCGUGCUUUAUUUUGUUUAACAAAAUUGUUGUCUUAUAAGAAAACAAAUGUAUUAGAUAUGCAAAACAAACUGCAUUUGAGCUUCAUUAUAUUUAAUUUU
This is a long non-coding RNA of Ruditapes philippinarum (Manila clam), 3940 nucleotides long. RefSeq lists it as uncharacterized. The transcript is spliced from 2 exons. NCBI's taxonomy places the organism in Eukaryota, Metazoa, Mollusca, Bivalvia, Venerida, Veneridae. The record is from RefSeq and is a predicted model, not a curated record.